This is a non-coding RNA of Musa acuminata subsp. malaccensis (wild Malaysian banana), 1991 nucleotides long. NCBI's taxonomy places the organism in Eukaryota, Viridiplantae, Streptophyta, Magnoliopsida, Zingiberales, Musaceae. The record is from RefSeq and is a predicted model, not a curated record.
GCAGAUUACGCGUUGAAUGAGCCGCACAGAUCCCGAUUCCGGAUCAAUGGGUAGCUCGACAUCACGUGCAACGGAAGAGGGUUUAGGGUUCCUCGGUGUCCGGUGCAAUGGAGGCGAGCUCCCCGGUUGGAUCCCGGAUUCGAACUAAGAAGAGUCUGAAUCCGGUCGACUCCAAUCAACAUCCCAGAAAUUUCUUUCCAUCUCUUCGUCCGAUGGGUUUCCUCUACAACACACCUCGUGAUUUGUUGCUUAGAAGGAUAUCGUGAUCACUCUGUUUCUUGUCGAAUGGAAAGGAUAUGUUGAUCCCUCUUAUUCGUGUUGAAUUUGCUGAAGUUUAUGUUUGUCUGUUGUCAUGUCAAAGGAAAGUAACAGGAUCUUUAUUAGUUUCAACUUUGUUAUCUACAUUCCAAUUAGAUGCGCUUGCGAGACGAGAGGAUUCUGACUGGUGUUGGCUCAUGCUUUUUCUUUGAGAUAACAUCGUCAAGUUUCUAAAAAUUAUACCUUGAUUGGCAAAAGAAUUCAUAAUUAAUUGUUCUAUUUGGUUUGCUUCUGAAAAAUAUCCGACAAGUAUCAUUAUCUGAUUCAUAUAUGAUAUGGAUUCCACAUGCAUUUUGAAUUGUGUAUGUUCUGUAGAUUGCUCUGAAGCUGUAUAUUUGUUUUGUCCAUGGGAUCAACUGAUUAUUUCCACAUGGAGUUUGGGCUUCUCUUUAGAGCCUCUCUUUCCCUGCUCACUUUAUCAUGUCAUCAUGUUGCUGCUCUGUUUUUCAAUAUUGUUACAAGAAACUAUUCCAGUCUGUAGAAUAAUUUGAUUAUCUUUGUCCUUUUCCUAUCCUUCUCUUCUUUCCUUUUCCUAUCAUGACAUUUUGCUCUUCAGCUUUCAUGUCAAAUAAUGUAACUGAUUGAAGAAAUGCUUCAAUAACACAGUAUACUGACCAAAAGAUUUUGGCAGUUGAGAGGAAGUACCUUGAGGGGCAACACAAGCUGGUGUAUCAAUUUGAAGAUAAACCUCACUGCAGAUCUCCUUACCUUUUCAGAAGUGAUCAUGAGUUGUCUCAAUCUGAAACUGAGCUUUUACCAACUAUCAAGCCUCCAAGAACAGGCUGUGGAUCUGUGCAACAGAAGCUACCACAUGCAAGUGCAGUCCCCAUCGGACUUCUCAAGAGGUCUACGUUUCAUUUCUCCCCUCCAAGAACAUACUUUUCUGAGUGUACAGUGGGGUGCAGAGCCUGCAGCGACAUCUACAUCCAGUCUCCAAAUCAUUAUCAUGUGUUUUUUGCUUUAUGCCUUCCUUUUCUGGCGAGAUUAUGGUUGAUUGAGUUGUGCCAGCUGAUCAAAUUGGCUCAUCUGUUUCAUCUUAUGGCAAUCCACGUUUCUGGUGGUGUGGUUUUGCCAAGUACAUAGGUUUUCUGCUGCAUGGAAGCCAUCCAAAGAAGCCACAUGGUAGCUGCAUUGCUAAUUCAAAUCCGGCCUCAUGGAGUUUUCCUCAUAAUCAAGAAUAAAAGUUGAAAAGUCUUUAUGCUGACUCAACUUGAGAAUGAUACAAAGAGAUUCCUUGUCUUCUAUAAAGAUUAGUACCAAAGUUUUUUCUCCUUGGUCAACUGGAGGACAGCCAAGUAUUCACUCACAGUGGAGCCCAAGCAAUAAGUGAUCAAGGAAAAUGACUCCCUCGUAACUUCCGGCUUCACAAGUCAACCAGCACAAGAGAUGAAGAUAGUACAUGAUGGCCUGAUGAUGAGAGUAACGAGCAUGAUCCAAGAAUCCAGCGCUAAUACAGCCCUCAGAUUUGUUACUCUGCUUUAAGUUCAGGACUUUUGUGUCUCUUUGUUAGCCAAAUUCCUGUACUUUGGAAAGAAGAACUCUGCAUUUCAACUACAACUGGGCUCCAAAUUAUAAAAGCCUAACUACUUUUCUGUGUUAUAGUCAACAUGAAUGAUGGAAUAAAUUCCUUGGGAUAUCUUGUUGUGUAGUAGAUUUGAAAUUUCAUAUAAAGA